Long non-coding RNA from Olea europaea var. sylvestris, 315 nucleotides. RefSeq lists it as uncharacterized. The transcript is spliced from 3 exons. The record is from RefSeq and is a predicted model, not a curated record. NCBI's taxonomy places the organism in Eukaryota, Viridiplantae, Streptophyta, Magnoliopsida, Lamiales, Oleaceae.
AGGCUGAUUUCCUUCGCCUUAUCAAUGAACCUGUUGAAGGUGGAGAAGGGGCAGCUAGCUGAAGCUAUGCCACAGGCUAUAACAGUUACUCCUGAGGAACGGGAAGCCAUAGAACGGGCAGACGCAUGACUAUGCCAAUUUGACGAUUAUGCUAUUCAUUUGGCUCCCUCCAUGUAUUUCCAGCUCGAAGCGAUGGGGUAUGAUCGAGCACUUGUUUUGGAGGUGUUCUUUGCCUGUAACAAGGAUGAAGAGCUUGCUGCGAACUACCUCUUGGAUCAUAUCCAUGAAUUUGAAGAAUGAUGAUGCCGAUUGUUG